UACCUUGUUACGACUUGCAUGUGUAAAGCAUGCCGCCAGCGUUCAAUCUGAGCCAGGAUCAAACUCUGCAGCGGCCGCGGAUCCGCGGCCGCUAGAGUUUGAGUCCUGGCUCAGAUUUGAACGCUGGCGGGAAUGCUUUACACAAUGCAAGUGGGCGGCAGCGCGGGGGCAACCCUGGCGGCGAGCGGCGAACGGGUGAGUAAUACAUCGGAACGUACCCAGUCGUGGGGGAUAGCCCGGUGAAAGGCAUUAAUACCGCAUACGCCCUGAGGGGGAAAGCGGGGGACCCCAAACGGCCUCGCGCGAUUGGAGCGGCCGAUGGCGGAUUAGCUGGUG
RNAcentral lists this ribosomal RNA (336 nucleotides) under uncultured bacterium. RNAcentral's name for it is "partial 16S ribosomal RNA". The stretch from base 87 to 336 matches the Rfam family "Bacterial small subunit ribosomal RNA", at positions 1 to 250 of the family's 1533-position model. The record is from RNAcentral.